AGCAGCCGCGGUAAUUCCAGCUCCAAUAGCGUAUAUUAAAGUUGUUGCAGUUAAAAAGCUCGUAGUUGAAUUUCGGGAUUGACGUAAUGGUCAUGCCUUAAGGGGUAUGAACUGUUACUGUUGAUUUCUCACCUUCUGGAGAAACUUGAUGUCCUUUAUUGGGUGUCUUGCGGAUCCAGGACCUUUACCUUGAAAAAAUUAGAGUGUUUAAAGCAGGCAUUUUUGCUCGAAUACAUUAGCAUGGAAUAAUAGAAUAGGACGGCAUGGUUCUAUUUUGUUGGUUUCUAGGAUCACCGUAAUGAUUAAUAGGGAUAGUUGGGGGCAUUAGUAUUCAAUUGUCAGAGGUGAAAUUCUUGGAUUUAUUGAAGACUAACUACUGCGAAAGCAUUUGCCAAGGAUGUUUUCAUUAAUCAAGAACGAAAGUUAGGGGAUCGAAGACGAUCAGAUACCGUCGUAGUCUUAACCAUAAACUAUGCCGACUAGGAAUCAGACGAUGUUAAUUUUUUAAUGACUCGUUUGGCACCUUACG
RNAcentral lists this ribosomal RNA (529 nucleotides) under uncultured Entrophosporaceae. RNAcentral's name for it is "SSU rRNA". It matches the Rfam family "Eukaryotic small subunit ribosomal RNA", at positions 569 to 1092 of the family's 1831-position model. The record is from RNAcentral. Lineage: Eukaryota; Fungi; Glomeromycota; Glomeromycetes; Entrophosporales; Entrophosporaceae.